This 1342-nucleotide ribosomal RNA is filed under the name uncultured bacterium. Its description in RNAcentral is "bacterial SSU rRNA". It matches the Rfam family "Bacterial small subunit ribosomal RNA", at positions 28 to 1381 of the family's 1533-position model. The record is from RNAcentral.
GAUGAACGCUGGCGGCGUGCUUAACACAUGCAAGUCGAACGGUGAAGGAGAGCUUGCUCUUUGGAUCAGUGGCGAACGGGUGAGUAACACGUGAGCAAUCUGCCCCUGACUCUGGGAUAACAGUUGGAAACAGCUGCUAAUACCGGAUAUGAGACGUGACCGCAUGGUCGACGUUUGGAAAGAAUUUCGGUCAGGGAUGAGCUCGCGGCCUAUCAGCUUGUUGGUGAGGUAAUGGCUCACCAAGGCGUCGACGGGUAGCCGGCCUGAGAGGGUGACCGGCCACACUGGGACUGAGACACGGCCCAGACUCCUACGGGAGGCAGCAGUGGGGAAUAUUGCACAAUGGGCGAAAGCCUGAUGCAGCAACGCCGCGUGAGGGACGACGGCCUUCGGGUUGUAAACCUCUUUUAGCAGGGAAGAAGCGAAAGUGACGGUACCUGCAGAAAAAGCGCCGGCUAACUACGUGCCAGCAGCCGCGGUAAUACGUAGGGCGCAAGCGCUAUCCGGAAUUAUUGGGCGUAAAGAGCUCGUAGGCGGUUUGUCGCGUCUGCUGUGAAAACUGGAGGCUCAACCUCCAGCCUGCAGUGGGUACGGGCAGACUAGAGUGCGGUAGGGGAGAUUGGAAUUCCUGGUGUAGCGGUGGAAUGCGCAGAUAUCAGGAGGAACACCGAUGGCGAAGGCAGAUCUCUGGGCCGUAACUGACGCUGAGGAGCGAAAGGGUGGGGAGCAAACAGGCUUAGAUACCCUGGUAGUCCACCCCGUAAACGUUGGGAACUAGUUGUGGGGUCCAUUCCACGGAUUCCGUGACGCAGCUAACGCAUUAAGUUCCCCGCCUGGGGAGUACGGCCGCAAGGCUAAAACUCAAAGGAAUUGACGGGGACCCGCACAAGCGGCGGAGCAUGCGGAUUAAUUCGAUGCAACGCGAAGAACCUUACCAAGGCUUGACAUAUACGAGAACGGGUUAGAAAUAGUCAACUCUUUGGACACUCGUAAACAGGUGGUGCAUGGUUGUCGUCAGCUCGUGUCGUGAGAUGUUGGGUUAAGUCCCGCAACGAGCGCAACCCUCGUUCUAUGUUGCCAGCACGUAAUGGUGGGAACUCAUGGGAUACUGCCGGGGUCAACUCGGAGGAAGGUGGGGAUGACGUCAAAUCAUCAUGCCCCUUAUGUCUUGGGCUUCACGCAUGCUACAAUGGCCGGUACAAAGGGCUGCAAUACCGUAAGGUGGAGCGAAUCCCAAAAAGCCGGUCCCAGCUCGGAUUGAGGUCUGCAACUCGACCUCAUGAAGUCGGAGUCGCUAGUAAUCGCAGAUCAGCAACGCUGCGGUGAAUACGUUCCCGGGUCU